This is a non-coding RNA of Nothobranchius furzeri (turquoise killifish), 1217 nucleotides long. NCBI's taxonomy places the organism in Eukaryota, Metazoa, Chordata, Actinopteri, Cyprinodontiformes, Nothobranchiidae. The record is from RefSeq and is a predicted model, not a curated record.
ACGUAGCAGAAGCGGCUCAAAUGCUACGCGUCCUCACCACGCAGCUCCGUUAUCUUCCAUUCCUCCCAGUUUUUGCCUCUCUUGCGUUUGCUCUGAUGUUUUCAGUACACAGUAGCUGAGGUGGCAUGGAGCUCAUGUUGUCCCAUCAAGAGCGAAGCUCCAACAACAACCAAACACUUUCCCCGUCCUCUUCCCACCCUGCUUACAACCCGUUCCACUGCUCUCUCACUUUGUUCCCACGCUCCCUCGCUUCUUUCUUUUCACUUCUGCAUUGUCCCGUGCCCUCAGGUUAGAGGUUGUCUCUGUUUCCUACACCAAAGCCUGGAAAACAGACGAGAGGGACGAGAGGAGCGAGAGAGGGCCUGGCCGUGGGGCCUGUCCGCCUUCCUGCUUCAGCCUGGCUGGCUAACCGGUCUGAACCAGUUCUGACAUAGGUGAACCAGAGACGUGUCUUCUUUCGCCUCUGGACAAAAAAGACUCAUGGUGGCAUUCCAUCUACAAGCAGCAGGUCCGGGGGACACCCUGGGACCCGUUAGCACAGCCAUCUCUCAUGCUGUCUGACGGAGACUCCCCCGGCCAGAGCCGGGUCCAGAGUCACCUCCAGGCUGGACGCCGACACAUCUGAUAACUCCGACUAGCUACAAUCUCCUCAUUUUGUCUCUGGCCCCUCCAGGCCCAGAGCUGACAAACAACCCCCCACCCCGGAAGAAGCCUGCAAGCCUCCACACCUUGGACAGAUUUGGCGAAAACGGAUCGUGCGAGCUUUUAGACUUGAGUGCGAUCUGCAACAGUGUCCACUCCGUCUACAUUCCUGAUUCUCAAAGCUCCAAAUCUACGACAGCAGACACGUUUCAAGCUGGUGCAGCAGGUGUUAUUGAUUUGCACUUUUUCUGUCCCAUUUUUGCUAUGAAGACAUCGAAAUCUGGCCUUGCUCCACGCUCACAGCACGUACGGAGACGGCCACGAAAAGAUGCCAUCAGUCGGGUCCAUGUUCUCAAAAUCCCACCGUUAAAAACACACACAGAUGAUAUUGUAGAGCUCUCUAAUGCUCAACAUCAGACUAGCAUAAAAUUCUAAUUUCUAAUAAACAAUUGAAUUAAAAGAUAAGAACCUGUGGAGGUUAGAAAUGUUAACAUUAGUCCAGGUAUUACGGUAACACCUAUGUAAUUUACUCAACAGUGAUGGAUUACCACUGUCAAUAAAAUGCUUCAAAAGCU